Molecule: RNA transcript, 1461 nt
Organism: Brienomyrus brachyistius
Lineage: Eukaryota; Metazoa; Chordata; Actinopteri; Osteoglossiformes; Mormyridae
Gene: copz2
Gene name: COPI coat complex subunit zeta 2
Exons: 10
Source: RefSeq, a predicted model, not a curated record
AGUGCAGUUUCGCGAGAACGAAUGGGCAGCAGAAGACCAGCCCACUUGUGAGUCAGAAGGGCUCUGCGUGGUCCAUUAAAAUGACAGGUUGAGUUUGUCCACGUCAACACCGAAAUACACUAUCAUGGACUUUAUGGCUCUGGAACCAUCUCUGUACACGGUGAAAGCUGUUUUAAUUUUGGACAAUGAUGGAAAUAGACUCUUAUCAAAGUACUAUGACACUGCACUGUACCCUUCAAUGAAGGAACAGAAAAACUUUGAGAAGAGCGUGUUUAACAAAUCCCACAAAGCUGACAAUGAGAUAGCAUUCUUGGAGGGCUUAACUAUUGUAUAUAAGAGUAGUGUUGACCUCUUCUUCUACGUGGUGGGGAGUGCCCAGGAAAAUGAGCUCAUGUUGAUGAUGGUUUUAAAUUGCCUAUUUGAUACGCUCAGUCAGAUCCUGCGAAAGAAUGUGGAAAAGAGGUUUCUUUUAGACAACCUGGAUGGUGUGUUCCUUGUGGUGGAUGAAAUCAUUGAUGGAGGGAUAAUCUUGGAGAGUGACCCACAGCAAGUCAUUCAGAAGGUCAAUUACAGAACUGUUUCCGAUCCAGCCUAUGGGUUUGUCCUCUUUGAUUACAUCACUGGUAACACUGAGGGUCAAGGGGACAAGAGCCAGAAUGCAUAGCCAAUGAGAGGCAACGAGAAAAGAGAGGGGAGGGUAGAGCAGGUGGACGAAAGCCCUUUGUCAGAGCAAAGUGUAGCUCAGGUGUUGCAGUCGGCGAAGGAACAAAUCAAAUGGUCGAUACUGAAGUAAACGUGGAACAGAAGUGGCUCUACUUCGUCGUGCAAUAAAAAUGUGUGUGCCUUCGCUUUUAUGUGCAUUUAUUGGGGCUGCAUAUGUUUUUCAUAUUCUAAUAUAUAACCGAGCAGCAAAGACAGAUUUAUUGAAGCAAGCUAUACACACACACAAAAUACAAAUUUCUGUGUUCCAGUCACAGGUUCAGCUGUUUCUUGUGAUUUUUUCCCCAUUCAUUUUUUACGCCAAAACUGUUACAGUCAGAUAACCGAAUGUUACACACAACUAGCCUAAUUCGAUUGUGUAUGUUCAAAUAAACUACCUUAUUAGCAUCACUAACGGAGUGCUGAUCAGAACAUUUCAUAAAUUUUCAUGAAAUUUAUAUAAAUUUCAUUUAUAUAUCUCCAUUUUCUACUUUUAGAAUUUUUUAACUAAAAAACAAGCAAAUAUUGAGUGUCAGACAAUAUUUGUUAGAUGCUUAGAGAAUCGCAUAUAGACCACGCAUUAACGUAACAGUGAUUGUUUUUUCCAUAAGGUUAUGAGGUCUUCUUUGGGGGUAAUUUAAAAUUUGAUAGCUUUAAAUAAAGGGGUUUUCUUGUAAAUGCAACCGAUUUCAUAUGUAGUUGUCGGUGUAUUUUUGCCUUGGUUUCCGUGAAAACGUAAUAAAGAGUGGUUUAUACCUAAAA